AAAAAUUUAUUAAUUACUUAAUUUUAUUUUAUUUAUUUUAUUUUCUCCUUAUUUGGACAUAACUUUGAAUAUCCAUUUAUUAAAUUUCUAGUUAAUAAUUUUGAUUUGUUGGAUUGGUACAACUGGACGAAGCCUUGUCGGUUGACCAGCCAGCGAUUUCCUCUUCUUCUUGUUCUAAAAGGCCUAGCUGUGGCAUCUCAAAAUGUAGCAUGUGAUUUGAAUUAUGAAAUAUCUAAAUUUUUUACUACAAAAUUUUUCUUUUAAAUUAUGCUAAAGUAGCAUAAAUGUAAAUCUACAAUGCCUGAUUGAAUUUUAUAUUUGAAUAACCCCAGUUGGGUUUUUUUUAUUUUACCAUUAAUUUUGAAUGACCGGACAAAUAUAAUACCAGGAUAAAUACAGGAUGUAGGAGACUAAACAUUUUCCAUAAACUCAAGCAAAUUCCAAAUUUUGGAAUUCAAGUACAGUAUGAAAGUUAAAUUUCCAUUUACAAUUCGAAGUGGGGUAAGCAGAACACUUGUUUUACAAUUCGGCUUCUAAUUCAACCAAGUCCAUCGAAUUUUAUGAGUUUCAAACUUCGUUAAUCGUCGCUUAUCUACGAUUCCACAUCACACUGAAGCUUCAGUUGUAGGCCUACCGGGUUACUAACAUAGAUUUAAUAAUCAAAACUUGUAAACUGAAUAUUUUGUAACUUCAGAAAUGAAAUUGAUUUUUAAUGUUGAAAAUAUAAGAUUCAAUCGGA
This is a long non-coding RNA of Nilaparvata lugens (brown planthopper), 739 nucleotides long. RefSeq lists it as uncharacterized. The record is from RefSeq and is a predicted model, not a curated record. The transcript has 2 exons. Lineage: Eukaryota; Metazoa; Arthropoda; Insecta; Hemiptera; Delphacidae.